GAUGAAGAACGUAGCGAAAUGCGAUAAGUAAUGUGAAUUGCAGAAUUCCGUGAAUCAUCGAAUCUUUGAACGCACAUUGCGCCCCUUGGUAUUCCGAGGGGCAUGCCUGUUCGAGCGUCAUUAUAACCCCUCAAGCUCAGCUUGGUGUUGGGGCCUGCUGCACUGGCAGCCCUUAAAAUCAGUGGCGGCGCCGUCUGGCUCUAAGCGUAGUAAUUCUUCUCGCUAUGGAGUCCUGGUGGAUGCUUGCCAUCAACCCCCAAUUUUUCUAUGGUUGACCUCGGAUCAGGUAGGGAUACCCGCUGAACUUAAGCAUAUCAAUAAGCGGAGGA
Molecule: unclassified non-coding RNA, 329 nt
Filed under: soil metagenome
Description: partial contains 5.8S ribosomal RNA, internal transcribed spacer 2, and large subunit ribosomal RNA
Rfam family: 5.8S ribosomal RNA (bases 1-120)
Source: RNAcentral